UUAUUUUUUGAGUUUUUUAAAAUAAUAUGUUCCCUACGCCUACAUUAAAGUAGAUUAACAUUAUAUAAUUUAGAUAAGAACAAGUUUUAUGUAGUUUUAAAGUAUUUUUACUUUAAUAGUUUACUAAAACAAGAAAAUGGGAGCUGCUGAAACUAAACUUGGAUUAAUUGAGAAGGAACCAUCUGACCAAGUUUCGUUUACAAUAAAUGGCAAACCUUUUACUGUGAAACCGGAUGGAGUUAAAAUUACAGCAACAACUACGUUAAACACAUUCAUCAGAAAUGUAGCUCAGUUAAAAGGAACGAAAUUAAUGUGUUUGGAAGGAGGUUGUGGAAGUUGUCUAGUCACAGCUGAAUUUGAACAUCCAAUAACCAAAAAAAUCACCAUUGCGGCGGUUAAUUCGUGCUUGGUUACAAUAUUAUCUUGUGAUGGUUGGAAAAUUACAACAAUUGAAGGGAUUGGCGGUAAAAAGAAGGGAUAUAAUGUAAUACAAAAACGUUUGGCCCAAUUUAACGGAACACAAUGUGGAUUUUGUACACCGGGUAUGGUUAUGAAUAUGUAUUCGCUAUAUCAGGCUGAAGGCAAUAGUUUAACACAAAAACAAGUUGAAAAUUCUUUUGGUGGAAAUAUAUGCAGAUGUACUGGUUAUCGAACAAUUGCUGAUGGGUUCAAAACAUUAACAGUGGAUGCAGAUAAAAAAUUAAUAGCUAAAUGUCAAGAUUUGGAAGAAUUGAGUAUUUGCUCAAAAACGGGAACAUAUUGUGCAAGAGAGUGUGAGAAAAAGAAUCCAAAUUGUAUUGAGCAGUCGGCACCUCAAAAAUAUAUUUAUAUUAAUACAGGGGAUGAGAAAUGGUAUAAAGUAUUUAAAUUAUCUGAAUUGCUUGAAGUGUUAAAAAGUAUUGGCAAUGAAAAGUACAUGCUUGUGGCUGGAAAUACCGCUAAUGGUGUACGUCGUCGUGAUCCUAAUAUUCCGGUUUAUAUUGAUGUAAACUCAGUAGAAGAACUUCAUACUUUGAGUAUUUCUGAUGCGGAGUUAAAAUUGGGCGCGAACACAUCCUUAACGGAAGCCAUGAAAUUAUUUAUAAAAAUUUCUAGUGAAAAACCUAAAUUUGGUUAUUUAAAAGAAGUUUAUGAUCAUUGGGAUCUUGUAGCAAAUGUACCUGUGCGAAAUAUGGGAACAAUUGCCGGAAAUUUAGCAUUAAAACAUGGCUACAAAAGAUUUCAAUCUGAUAUAUUUUUAACAUUGGAAACCUUUGGAGCCAAAUUAACUAUUGUUUCGAAAGAUGAUACUACGGAACAAAUCGUAUCACCUAAAGAAUUUCUAGGCUUGAAUAUGGAUGGUCGAGUUAUAGUCGGUAUCACUUUUUAUCCAUUAGUUGGAAAUUACGUAUUUCAAACUUACAAAAUUAUGCCACGAGCGCAGAAUACUCAUGCUAUUGUUAAUGCUGGAUUUUGUAUGAAGUUAGGAGACGAUAAAAAUAAAGUACUUGAAGCCACAAUUGUUUAUGGAGCAAUUAAUGUCGAUUUUGUUCACGCAAGUGAAACUGAAAAAUUACUUGUUGGCAAAAACUUAUAUGUUGACGCUACAAUCCAAGCUGUAUUUCAAAGUUUGGAAAAUGAAUUAAAAUGUGAUGUUGCACCUCCAGAUCCCGCUCCAGAAGCACGGAAACAACUUGCAAUUAAUCUUUUUUACAAGUUUAUCCUAAAUACUGCGCCAGAAAAUUUAGUUAAUCCAAUAUACUCGAGUGGAGGUCCCAAGUUUGAUAGACCUGUUUCAACAGGAGAACAAGACUACGCAUCUAAUCAAAAAACGUAUCCGUUAACACAACCGGUUUCGAAAGUUGAAGCUUUGGUGCAAUGUUCAGGGGAAGCAAAAUUUGUAGUUGACGUGGAUACAGCACGUGCAGAUUAUACAUUUUCAUCAUUAAUUUUGGCUCGAGCUGUUCCAGGAUCCAAAAUUAAAAAGAUUCAUACGGAUAAUGCCUUGAAUAUGCCAGGUGUCAUUGAUAUUGUACUCAGUAAAGAUGUCCCUGGUAGAAAUUCUUUUAAUGUACCUGAAUUACAAUAUACUUCAAAUAUGGAAAUAUUUUGUGAAGGCGAAGUUAAAUACAAUGGCCAAUUAGUUGGUUUAGCUAUCGCUGAAACGGAACAAAUUGCUCAACAAGCUGCAAAAUUAGUUUCUAUUGAAUACGAGGCACCUCCAAGUGACAGAAUAAAUACGUAUACAAUUCGUGAUGCCUUGAAAAUCCCAAAUAAUCCUAGAAUAACACUUGAAGGACAAAAAGAUUCAGCGAAUAAAGGUACGGACAUAAAGCAUGUAGUUACGGGAACAUUUGAUAUUGGACCGCAAUAUCACUUCACAAUGGAAACACAAUCAUGUAUUUGUAUACCUAUUGAAGAUGGAAUGGAUGUUUAUUCAUCCACACAAUGGAUGGACUAUGUCCAAACUGCAAUUGCAAAAUCAUGUGACAUGCCUUUAAAAAAUGUGAAUUUAAAUGUUCGUCGACUUGGCGGCGGCUAUGGUUCAAAGUUAUCUGCGGCUAGUUUAAUUGCAUGUGCAACAGCUGUUGCUGCAACAAAAUUAGAUCGUCCUGUAUAUUCGCGUAUGAUUAUGGAAGAUAACAUGGAAACAUUGGGUAAACGAUUUCCAUGUUCCGCCGAUUACGAAGCUGGAGUUGAUGAUAAUGGUAAAAUACAAUAUAUGAAAUUAUCGUUAUAUCUGAAUUAUGGAUGCGCAGCAAAUGAACCAACUGCAUCGGAUGUAAUGAAUACUGUUGCUAAUUAUUACGAUACAGAAACAUGGCAAAUUAAAGCAUAUGGAGUUUUAACUGAUAUUACACCAAAUACAUUCUGUCGAGCUCCUGGUACGACCGAAGGAAUUGCUCUUAUUGAAAGUAUAAUGGAACAUAUUGCUGUAAACGUGAAACAAGAUCCUGAAUUUGUACGAUUUCAAAAUACUAGUAAUGACAUAUUACCUAAUUUGGUAAUAGAUUUGAAGACUAAAACCAACAUUGAACUCAGAAAAAAGGAAAUUGUAGAAUUUAAUAAGGCAAAUCGGUGGAGGAAACGUGCAUUAGGUCAAGUAGUUAUGGAUUAUCAUUUGGUACCUUAUGGAACAUUUUAUGCGAUGGUGACGAUUUUUAUUAACGAUGGAACUGUUUGUGUAACACAUGGCGGUAUUGAAAUGGGACAAGGAAUCAAUACAAAAGUACAACAGGUAGCAGCCUACGAAUUAGGUAUUGACAUGAAUAUGAUACAAAUAAAACCGUCAAAUGUAAUAACAGCACCUAAUUGCGCAUCAACUGGAGGUAGCAUUGGUAGUGAAAGUGUUUGUUUUGCAACAAUACAAGCAUGUAAGAAAUUAUUAACGCGAUUGGAACCAGUAAAAAGAAAUAUGAAACAAUACGAUUGGGUUAAAAUGAUUCAAUUAAGUGGUCAAUUCGGAAUUGAUUUAUGUGCCGAAUAUCAAGUUACAACUCAAGAUUUAAAAGAUUAUAAAAUAUAUGGAGUUACAUAUUCCGAAGUUGAAGUUGAUGUUUUAACUGGUUUAGUACAAAUCAAGAGAGUAGACUUAUUAGAAGAUACUGGUGAAAGUAUGAGUCCAGAAAUUGAUAUUGGGCAAGUGGAAGGGGCAUUUAUGAUGGGAUUAGGUUAUUGGUUAAUGGAACAUAUUGAAUAUGAUGAAAGUGAUGGAAAAUUAUUAAAUACACGAACAUGGACAUAUCAUCCACCUGGUUUAAAGGAUAUACCAAUUGACUGGCGUAUUCAAUUUAGGAAAAAUGCACCAAAUCCUCUUGGUGUUCUACGAUCGAAAGCUACUGGAGAGCCACCUCUUUGCAUGAGUGUUUCCGUAGCGUUCGCUAUACGUAAUGCAUUACAUGAAGUACGGGCAGAAAAUGCUCCCAAUGUAGAUCCUUGGUUUCCACUUGAUGGACCAACAUCAACCAGCAGUAUUUUAUUGAAUUCCAAGUUAAAUUACAAAAAUUUUAAAAUAAAAUGAUUUCUAGCAUUCAAUCACCAAAGCAAUGAAAGAGUCAUUACUUGAUAAAUUAGAUUUGGUUAUGACGUCAACAAGUGUUAUUUUACUUUGUUUCUAUUCGCACCGUGCGUGAGUUUUAUUGGAGGCCUUUCCA
Chrysoperla carnea is the source of this 4133-nucleotide RNA transcript. It is a transcript of the gene named xanthine dehydrogenase-like, with no coding region annotated. The transcript has 21 exons. NCBI's taxonomy places the organism in Eukaryota, Metazoa, Arthropoda, Insecta, Neuroptera, Chrysopidae. The record is from RefSeq and is a predicted model, not a curated record.